RNAcentral lists this ribosomal RNA (539 nucleotides) under uncultured bacterium. RNAcentral's name for it is "bacterial SSU rRNA". It matches the Rfam family "Bacterial small subunit ribosomal RNA", at positions 39 to 580 of the family's 1533-position model. The record is from RNAcentral.
GCUGUGUGCCUAUACUGCAUGUCGAAUCCACACUUGUGCUUAGUGGCAAAUGGUUGUACAACACGUACUUAAUCUACCCCCAAGUUUGGGAUAACAGUUGGAAACAAUUGCUAAUCCCCAAUACAUAUAAGUUUUGCAUAAUUCUUAUAUAAAAGGAGCGUUUGUUUCGCUAGGGGAUGAGAGUGCGCUACAUUAGUUAGUUGGUAGGGUAAGAGCCUACCAAGACUAUGAUGUAUAGCGGGGCUGAGAAGCUGAACCGCCACACUGGGACUGAGAUACGGCCCAGACUCCUACGGGAGGCAGCAGUAGGGAAUAUUCCACAAUGAGCGAAAGCUUGAUGGAGCAACACAGCGUGCAUGAAGACGACCUUAGCCUUGUAAACUGCUGUUAUGAGGGAAGAAAAAUAAAAUUAGGAAAUGAAUUUUACAUGACGGUACCUCAUCAGAAAGCACCGGCAAACUAUGUGCCAGCAGCCGCGGUAAUACAUAGGGUGCAAGCGUUAUCCGGAAUUAUUGGGCGUAAAGUGUCUGUAGGUGUCA